This is a long non-coding RNA of Lagenorhynchus albirostris (white-beaked dolphin), 2184 nucleotides long. RefSeq lists it as uncharacterized. The record is from RefSeq and is a predicted model, not a curated record. Lineage: Eukaryota; Metazoa; Chordata; Mammalia; Artiodactyla; Delphinidae. The transcript has 3 exons.
GGGAUCUUAUUUCCCCAACCAGGGUCCCGGCAGUGAAAGCGCCAAGUCCUAACUGCUGGACCACCAGGGAAUUCCCUAGUUGGUUACUUGAAUCAAGGUAAUUAAAAAAAUGCUUUACCUAUUAAGGACCUAUUCAUGACACUGGCCUUUACAACAUCCUUUGUUCCAAAAAAUACUUGCUGCUCCUCAUGUUUCUUCUCUUGUCUCCCGGGUACAGUCAAGUUACUGUCACAUGUACAGUACCAACAAUGGAAUGUUUUGAUUACUGAAUACGUAGUUGGAAUCCUUUUAUUGACCCUGAUGUUCCUGUGAAUGACCCAGAAAAUAAGAAUAAAGAAAUAGGAUGCUGUUUUCCUUCUGAGGUCUGAGGAUGUGCUCAAAUCUUUCUCUCUCCAGAACGACAGAGAGCCCCUACUCUGGCCUUGCACACCUAAGCUAUUACCAAUGAAGGAAGUUUCUGUGAUUUUCAUGUGCCAUGUCGAACGCAAGAUUCACAUCAGGGAUCCUCUGGGAUUCUGACUUGGACAAACUCAACAUGGGCCAUGGAUAUUCAACAGCUCUCACUUUAGGGAAGAAGAGUGUUACAAAGUUAAAUGUGCAUAAGGCUACUUGGUCUCCCAUAUUCUAAAAAGUGUGCUUAAUUUAAGUAAUUUAGAAGCAAAAUAGAGUUUCACAUUUUAUUACCUAUGUCAGAAUUUCUGUGAAACUUCAUGACAUUCUAGGACAUUUCCAUAUUUCUUUUUGUCUGGGUGGAAUUAGUGUUUGAGAGCUCUCUGCAUAUUCCUAGCUGAGCUUACCCUCAGAGUAUAAUUUGCAUAUUUUGUCCUGUAAACCAAAGUAAGUUUUGAUCAAAUUUGAAUUAUAUCGGCCAUUUUUCCUUUUGUAUUAUUUUACUCUCCAGAAAGAUUUUUUUUGAACAGUCACACUAAUAAACAGUAAAUAUUACAAUAAAAUUAACAACUUCCAUUUUCUCUAUUUUUGUCACUGUGGUGUUAAAUCUGCACUGGCAAUAAUUAAACUCCUAGAUUUUAGAAGUUUAGGAUGAGAACAUAAAUGGAAUCGGGACAGCAAUUUGAUAGAACUGAAAGGCUUUAGUAUCAGGUAAACUAGGACCGAUUCCUGGUUUUACAUCCUCCUGACUGCAUAACCUUUGAGACUGAGUCCCAGCUUUCUUGCUUGUAAAAUGACAAUAGUAUCAUCUACUGUUAUGAACUGAAUGUUUGUGUCUUCCCAAAAUUUAUGCAUUAAAAUCCUAACCCUCAAUGUGAUAAUAUUAGGAGGCAGAGCCUUUGGGAGGUAAUGAGGCCAUGAGGCUAGAGCUUUCACGAAUAGGAUUAAUGCUAUUCUAAGAAGAGGCACACAUGAGACACCUUGCUCUCUUUCUGUCUCUGCUCUUCACCAUGUGAGGAUACAAUGAGAAGGCCAUCUGUAAACCAGCAAGAGGACCUUCAUCAAGAACCCAACCGUGCUGGCACCCUGACCUCAGACUUCCAACCUCCAGAGAGUGAGAAAUAACUAUGAUGUUUGGGUCAAGUUGCCUGGAUUUAGUCAUUGGGAGUCCUUGGUUAUUAGUAGGAUCCUCAGAGCGGUAGAGGGACGGAAGCCAGAUUGCGCAGACUUCAGCAGGUGGCAGUGUAGCUAUUGAUAGAACACACGGACUUCCCUGAUGUCACAACGGUUAAGAAUCUGCCUGUUAAUGCAGGGGACACGGGUUCGAGCCCUGCUGCGGGAGGAUCCCACAUAUCGCAGAACAACUGAGCCCGUGCACCACAACUACUGAGCCUGCGCUCUAGAGACCACGAGCCACAACUACUGAAGUCCACGUGCUUAGAGCCCGUGCUCCACAACAAGAGAAGUCACUGCAAUGAGAAGCCUGCCACCACAACGAAGAGUAGCCCCUGCUCGCCACAACUAGAGAAAAGCCUGAGCAGCAACGAAGACCCAACACAGCCAAAAAUAAAUUAAAAAAAAAAGAGAGGAAUAAAUGAGCAUGGUAACCAACUUCUGCAAAGCAAAUAAGCAGAGAGAUAAGAAAUAUCAGAGGCCUUGAUGAUUUAGGAAAUGAAUAAGUAGUAUCUGAAUAAUAAAUUAUAAUAAAUAAUAAUAAAUUAACCGGACCUGUCAUGCAAAUAGGACAGAAGUUACUAUAAUUAUACAGGAUUGGUGAUAAUAAACUGAGUAAGA